CACCAGGAAGUGUACUGAGUUACGCUCUCACCCUUUGUGACAUACCUAUAACUGUUGCUUCGGCGGGGAGGGGCUCGGGACCCUGCCGGGCUCCCGCCUCCGGGCGGGUCGGGGCCCGCCGGAAGAAAACCAAACUCUGAUUUAACGACGUUUCUUCUGAAUGGUACCAGCAAAUAAUCCAAACUUUUAACAACGGAUCUCUUGGUUCUGGCAUCCAUGAAAAACGCAGCGAAAUGCGAUAAGUAAUGUGAAUUGCAGAAUUCACUGAAUCAUCCAAUCUUUGAACGCACAUUGCGCCCGCCAGCAUUCUGGCGGGCAUGCCUGUUCGAGCGUCAUUUUAACCCUCAAGCUCUGCUUGGGGUUGGGGCCCUACAGCUCAUGUAGGCCCUCAAAGGUAGUGGCGGACCCUCCCGGACCCUCCUUUGCCUAGUAACUUUACUUCUCCUACUGGGAUCCGGAGGGACUCUUGCCGUAAAACCCCCCAAUUUUCCAAAGGUUGACCUCGGAUCAGGUAGGAAUACCCGCUGAACUUAAGCAUAU
This 540-nucleotide ribosomal RNA is filed under the name Colletotrichum gloeosporioides. RNAcentral describes it as "eukaryotic LSU rRNA". The stretch from base 182 to 335 matches the Rfam family "5.8S ribosomal RNA". Lineage: Eukaryota; Fungi; Ascomycota; Sordariomycetes; Glomerellales; Glomerellaceae. The record is from RNAcentral.